UUUUGAUUUGCAGCAUUAACAGUCCAGGUUUGCUGUACGAUGUGGAGGAGCCUCCAUAUGUAGAGGAGGACCAGUUCAGUUUCACUGACGUCGACCUGCUGCCUCCUCCUGAGCUCUACGCCGACUCCUCCUGAACUUAACCGUU
This is a long non-coding RNA of Clarias gariepinus (North African catfish), 145 nucleotides long. RefSeq lists it as uncharacterized. NCBI's taxonomy places the organism in Eukaryota, Metazoa, Chordata, Actinopteri, Siluriformes, Clariidae. The transcript is spliced from 3 exons. The record is from RefSeq and is a predicted model, not a curated record.